RNAcentral lists this ribosomal RNA (538 nucleotides) under uncultured bacterium. RNAcentral describes it as "bacterial SSU rRNA". It matches the Rfam family "Bacterial small subunit ribosomal RNA", at positions 777 to 1313 of the family's 1533-position model. The record is from RNAcentral.
AAUAGAUACCCGGGUAGUCCACGCCGUAAACGAUGAGUGCUAAGUGUUAGAGGGUUUCCGCCCUUUAGUGCUGCAGCUAACGCAUUAAGCACUCCGCCUGGGGAGUACGGCCGCAAGGCUGAAACUCAAAGGAAUUGACGGGGGCCCGCACAAGCGGUGGAGCAUGUGGUUUAAUUCGAAGCAACGCGAAGAACCUUACCAGGUCUUGACAUCCUCUGCCAACCCUAGAGAUAGGGCGUUCCCCUUCGGGGGACAGAGUGACAGGUGGUGCAUGGUUGUCGUCAGCUCGUGUCGUGAGAUGUUGGGUUAAGUCCCGCAACGAGCGCAACCCUUAAUCUUAGUUGCCAGCAUUUAGUUGGGCACUCUAAGGUGACUGCCGGUGACAAACCGGAGGAAGGUGGGGAUGACGUCAAAUCAUCAUGCCCCUUAUGACCUGGGCUACACACGUGCUACAAUGGAUGGUACAAAGAGCUGCGAACCCGCGAGGGUAAGCGAAUCUCAUAAAGCCAUUCUCAGUUCGGAUUGUAGGCUGCUAACC